Molecule: ribosomal RNA, 1540 nt
Filed under: Enterobacter ludwigii
Lineage: Bacteria; Pseudomonadati; Pseudomonadota; Gammaproteobacteria; Enterobacterales; Enterobacteriaceae
Description: bacterial SSU rRNA
Rfam family: Bacterial small subunit ribosomal RNA
Source: RNAcentral
AAAUUGAAGAGUUUGAUCAUGGCUCAGAUUGAACGCUGGCGGCAGGCCUAACACAUGCAAGUCGAACGGUAGCACAGAGAGCUUGCUCUCGGGUGACGAGUGGCGGACGGGUGAGUAAUGUCUGGGAAACUGCCUGAUGGAGGGGGAUAACUACUGGAAACGGUAGCUAAUACCGCAUAACGUCGCAAGACCAAAGAGGGGGACCUUCGGGCCUCUUGCCAUCAGAUGUGCCCAGAUGGGAUUAGCUAGUAGGUGGGGUAACGGCUCACCUAGGCGACGAUCCCUAGCUGGUCUGAGAGGAUGACCAGCCACACUGGAACUGAGACACGGUCCAGACUCCUACGGGAGGCAGCAGUGGGGAAUAUUGCACAAUGGGCGCAAGCCUGAUGCAGCCAUGCCGCGUGUAUGAAGAAGGCCUUCGGGUUGUAAAGUACUUUCAGCGGGGAGGAAGGUGUUGUGGUUAAUAACCGCAGCAAUUGACGUUACCCGCAGAAGAAGCACCGGCUAACUCCGUGCCAGCAGCCGCGGUAAUACGGAGGGUGCAAGCGUUAAUCGGAAUUACUGGGCGUAAAGCGCACGCAGGCGGUCUGUCAAGUCGGAUGUGAAAUCCCCGGGCUCAACCUGGGAACUGCAUUCGAAACUGGCAGGCUAGAGUCUUGUAGAGGGGGGUAGAAUUCCAGGUGUAGCGGUGAAAUGCGUAGAGAUCUGGAGGAAUACCGGUGGCGAAGGCGGCCCCCUGGACAAAGACUGACGCUCAGGUGCGAAAGCGUGGGGAGCAAACAGGAUUAGAUACCCUGGUAGUCCACGCCGUAAACGAUGUCGACUUGGAGGUUGUGCCCUUGAGGCGUGGCUUCCGGAGCUAACGCGUUAAGUCGACCGCCUGGGGAGUACGGCCGCAAGGUUAAAACUCAAAUGAAUUGACGGGGGCCCGCACAAGCGGUGGAGCAUGUGGUUUAAUUCGAUGCAACGCGAAGAACCUUACCUACUCUUGACAUCCAGAGAACUUUCCAGAGAUGGAUUGGUGCCUUCGGGAACUCUGAGACAGGUGCUGCAUGGCUGUCGUCAGCUCGUGUUGUGAAAUGUUGGGUUAAGUCCCGCAACGAGCGCAACCCUUAUCCUUUGUUGCCAGCGGUCCGGCCGGGAACUCAAAGGAGACUGCCAGUGAUAAACUGGAGGAAGGUGGGGAUGACGUCAAGUCAUCAUGGCCCUUACGAGUAGGGCUACACACGUGCUACAAUGGCGCAUACAAAGAGAAGCGAACUCGCGAGAGCAAGCGGACCUCAUAAAGUGCGUCGUAGUCCGGAUUGGAGUCUGCAACUCGACUCCAUGAAGUCGGAAUCGCUAGUAAUCGUAGAUCAGAAUGCUACGGUGAAUACGUUCCCGGGCCUUGUACACACCGCCCGUCACACCAUGGGAGUGAGUUGCAAAAGAAGUAGGUAGCUUAACCUUCGGGAGGGCGCUUACCACUUUGUGAUUCAUGACUGGGGUGAAGUCGUAACAAGGUAACCGUAGGGGAACCUGCGGUUGGAUCACCUCCUUA